AUUCAUUUCCCCUUCUCUCUCCUUCCUCUCCUCUAAUUCAACCUAACUUCAUUUUCCCGGUUCUCUCUUUUCCCCUCUCUGGUUUCUCUCCUUCACCUCUCUGGUUCUUCUCUGGGCGCGAAAACUUCCUUUACCACACCGCACUGUUGUUCCCCCACCGCCGCAUCGCCCCAGAUGUUCCCCCACCGCUCACCGCUGUUGUUCCCCCAGUGUUGCGUCCCUACUGUUCCACACCGUCGCGUCGCUCCUCCUUGUAUCUUAGGAGCUCAGGAACAAUACUGCUUCCACUAUGAAACCUAAUGAUUCUCUUCUUUGAUUCGGUUCCAGUAAUGCUGAGGUACUUAGUCUCAUGUUGGUCUACAGAGCUGAUGUAGUGUUGCAGCGGCUGGUGUGGGUGUUCAGGGCCGAAGUGUGCUUUGUUCUGGUCAGCAGUAGAAGGUUGUUGGAUCCUGGUUAUGUCUGGUUGCUUAAAUUCAGUUGCAAGUUUGCAAUGCUACCAAAACAAAGGGUCUUUAAAGCUAGAUGUUGCAACCGCAAAGCUGCUAAUUGUUCAGGUUUGGUAGGACUUGACAUCGGUUGACUUUUGUUGAUCUGCUAUUUGGGCUGUUGUGUUUGAUUUGCACUGCUAUGGUUGCGAUUUAGAAGCAUAUUGCUGCAAACUCUUCACUUUGAAAGAUAUUGCGUUGGAAUUCGUAAAGAUUAGCUUGCUCUACAUGGAGCUUAAGAAGAUUUAUGAGGAACAAUCAUAGCAAUCUCUAAAGAUCGUGUCAGACCAUCUCCAAGCCUGACAGCUGGAAACUGAAUGAGAUUUUUGUUACUGGUUGUGUCAUCGGGGCAUAUCUCGCCUUAGUCACUGUGUUAUUUUACUGGGUCGUAAAUGGCACAGAUUUCUUCGAGGUAAUAAAAAGGAUUAUAAAGUACUGCAGUUAUUAUAUAUUAUAUAUGGACACUUGCUUUUCCUCAUGCAUAUAUUUAUAUAUGUAAAUCAACUGUAACACGAUAAUUUGGGUGUGAGCUCUCUACCUGGAAACACAGAGAAAACUUCAUCUGCAAUAUAUAUGCAAGUUAGCAACAUUAGCCAGGCCCUCAUCUUUAUUACUCGCACUCAGAGCUGGUCAUUUCUGGAGAGAUCUGGAGAUCUUCUCAUGUCUGCAUUCGUGGUGGCGCAAUUGGUAUUCAAUAAUCCGAGGGAGCGGCUUUUUACCUUUGAGGAGAUAGAUGAAGUUCGAGAAAUGUUGGCAAACUUCAUAACCAGUGAUUGUUUUUGAUAUUUUAUAGUACAGAAUCUUAAAUUAUGGAUGCUAGCUAGUUUUUCAUAUAAUUGUAAUGUUAUCGACUUUUAUAUUUACAAUUAUAUACGAUUUAUUUUAAUUAUCUAUAUAAUUGGAUACUUUUUAUAUGA
Molecule: long non-coding RNA, 1402 nt
Organism: Spinacia oleracea (spinach)
Lineage: Eukaryota; Viridiplantae; Streptophyta; Magnoliopsida; Caryophyllales; Amaranthaceae
Exons: 5
Source: RefSeq, a predicted model, not a curated record